GAUGAACGCUGGCGGCGUGCCUAAUACAUGCAAGUCGAACGCUUCACUUCGGUGAAGAGUGGCGAACGGGUGAGUAAUACAUAAGUAACCUGGCAUCUACAGGGGGAUAACUGAUGGAAACGUCAGCUAAGACCGCAUAGGUGUAGAGAUCGCAUGAACUCUAUAUGAAAAGUGCUACGGGACUGGUAGAUGAUGGACUUAUGGCGCAUUAGCUUGUUGGUAGGGUAACGGCCUACCAAGGCGACGAUGCGUAGCCGACCUGAGAGGGUGACCGCCCACACUGGGACUGAGACACGGCCCAGACUCCUACGGGAGGCAGCAGUAGGGAAUUUUCGGCAAUGGGGGAAACCCUGACCGAGCAACGCCGCGUGAAGGAAGAAGUAAUUCGUUAUGUAAACUUCUGUCAUAGAGGAAGAACGGUGGAUAUAGGGAAUGAUAUCCAAGUGACGGUACUCUAUAAGAAAGCCACGGCUAACUACGUG
RNAcentral lists this ribosomal RNA (482 nucleotides) under uncultured bacterium. Its description in RNAcentral is "partial 16S ribosomal RNA". It matches the Rfam family "Bacterial small subunit ribosomal RNA", at positions 28 to 507 of the family's 1533-position model. The record is from RNAcentral.